AACGCAUAUUGCGCCCUCUGGUAUUCCGGGGGGCACACCUGUUCGAGCGCCAUUUAAACCCUCAAGCCUUGCUUGGUGUUGGGAGGGGUCCUCACCGGGACCCCACCCGAAACUCAGCGGGCGCCACCCGUCAAACCGGGCGCAGCGAGCACAACGCACGCGCUGAUGGUUAGCGGGGGGUGCCCCAACGAAACCUUUUGGUUUUUUUCCAAGGUUGGCCUCGGAUCAGGUGGGGAUACCCGCUGAACUUAA
Molecule: unclassified non-coding RNA, 252 nt
Filed under: uncultured fungus
Lineage: Eukaryota; Fungi
Description: sequence contains ITS2
Source: RNAcentral